This 211-nucleotide long non-coding RNA is filed under the name Elaeis guineensis (African oil palm). Its description in RNAcentral is "long non-coding RNA (EGUI_LNC079613)". Lineage: Eukaryota; Viridiplantae; Streptophyta; Magnoliopsida; Arecales; Arecaceae. The record is from RNAcentral.
GGGACCUAUGACUCUGAAUCGAUUUAGUACCCAGACUGAUCAUCUAGUCAAUCACUUUCUUUUAUUAUUUAGUUUAUUAAAUUUAUGAAAUAAAAAUUGAUCAUAAUUUAAUAUUUUAAAUAGAAAUAUCUGAUUCAAUUAAGAAAGACUAAAGAUCUAGGAUGAUCGAGGUAAAUAGAUUUUACGCUCCUUAUUUAUUUUCAAAUAAUCA